GGGCCGAGGCGCGGUCUUACCAUGCAGUCGAACGGUGAAAGAGAGCUUGCUCUCUGGAUCAGUGGCGAACGGGUGAGUAACACGUGAGCAAUCUGCCCCUGACUCUGGGAUAAGCGCUGGAAACGGCGUCUAAUACCGGAUACGAGCUGCGAAGGCAUCUUCAGCAGCUGGAAAGAACUUCGGUCAGGGAUGAGCUCGCGGCCUAUCAGCUAGUUGGUGAGGUAAUGGCUCACCAAGGCGUCGACGGGUAGCCGGCCUGAGAGGGUGACCGGCCACACUGGGACUGAGACACGGCCCAGACUCCUACGGGAGGCAGCAGUGGGGAAUAUUGCACAAUGGGCGCAAGCCUGAUGCAGCAACGCCGCGUGAGGGACGACGGCCUUCGGGUUGUAAACCUCUUUUAGCAGGGAAGAAGCGAAAGUGACGGUACCUGCAGAAAAAGCACCGGCUAACUACGUGCCAGCAGCCGCGGUAAUACGUAGGGUGCAAGCGUUAUCCGGAAUUAUUGGGCGUAAAGAGCUCGUAGGCGGUUUGUCGCGUCUGCUGUGAAAUCUGGGGGCUCAACCCCCAGCCUGCAGUGGGUACGGGCAGACUAGAGUGCGGUAGGGGAGAUUGGAAUUCCUGGUGUAGCGGUGGAAUGCGCAGAUAUCAGGAGGAACACCGAUGGCGAAGGCAGAUCUCUGGGCCGUAACUGACGCUGAGGAGCGAAAGGGUGGGGAGCAAACAGGCUUAGAUACCCUGGUAGUCCACCCCGUAAACGUUGGGAACUAGUUGUGGGGUCCAUUCCACGGAUUCCGUGACGCAGCUAACGCAUUAAGUUCCCCGCCUGGGGAGUACGGCCGCAAGGCUAANAC
Molecule: ribosomal RNA, 854 nt
Filed under: Microbacterium sp. TM2R1
Lineage: Bacteria; Bacillati; Actinomycetota; Actinomycetes; Micrococcales; Microbacteriaceae
Description: bacterial SSU rRNA
Rfam family: Bacterial small subunit ribosomal RNA
Source: RNAcentral